Molecule: non-coding RNA, 54 nt
Organism: Salmo salar (Atlantic salmon)
Lineage: Eukaryota; Metazoa; Chordata; Actinopteri; Salmoniformes; Salmonidae
Source: Rfam
UGCAUGCACUACUGUAAUUCGCUCUGGAUAAGAGCGUCUGCUAAUUAACUAAAA